RNAcentral lists this ribosomal RNA (253 nucleotides) under uncultured bacterium. RNAcentral's name for it is "partial 16S ribosomal RNA". It matches the Rfam family "Bacterial small subunit ribosomal RNA", at positions 524 to 776 of the family's 1533-position model. The record is from RNAcentral.
UACAGAGGUCUCAAGCGUUGUUCGGAUUCAUUGGGCGUAAAGGGCGCGUAGGCGGCGGGGUAAGUCGGGUGUGAAAUCUCAGAGCUCAACUCUGAAAUGGCACUUGAUACUGCUCUGCUAGAGGACUGGAGAGGAGAUUGGAAUUCACGGUGUAGCAGUGAAAUGCGUAGAUAUCGUGAGGAAGACCGGUGGCGAAGGCGGAUCUCUGGACAGUUCCUGGCACUGAGACACGAAGGCCAGGGGAGCAAACGGG